This 494-nucleotide ribosomal RNA is filed under the name uncultured bacterium. RNAcentral describes it as "partial 16S ribosomal RNA". It matches the Rfam family "Bacterial small subunit ribosomal RNA", at positions 28 to 507 of the family's 1533-position model. The record is from RNAcentral.
GACGAACGCUGGCGGCGCGCUUAACACAUGCCAGUCGAACGGAAAGGCCUGCUUUCCCUUGUGGAUUGCGGGUACUCGAGUGGCGAACGGGUGAGUAACACGUGAGUGAUCUGCCCCCAACUUGGGUAUAAGCCUGGGAAACUGGGUCUAAUUCCCGAUAGGACUGCAGGGUGGUGCCUGUGGUGGAAAACGAUUUUCUAGUGGUUGGGGAUGAGCUCGCGGCCUAUCAGCUUGUUGGUGGGGUAAUGGCCUACCAAGCCGGCGACGGGUAGCCGGCCUGAGAGGGUGGACGGCGACAUUGGGACUGAGAUACGGCCCAGACUCCUACGGGAGGCAGCAGUGGGGAAUAUUGCACAAUGGGCGGAAGCCUGAUGCAGCGACGCCGCGUGGGGGAUGACGGCCUUCGGGUUGUAAACUCCUUUCGACCGCGAGGAAGCCACCUGGUUGGAAGGGUGGUGACGGUAGUGGUAGAAGAAGCACCGGCUAACUACGUG